Molecule: non-coding RNA, 78 nt
Organism: Paramuricea clavata
Lineage: Eukaryota; Metazoa; Cnidaria; Anthozoa; Malacalcyonacea; Plexauridae
Source: the annotation of a GenBank genome assembly
GACCUUGUAGCUCAGACGGUAGAGCAUCGUUCAAGAUAAUUAUACGAAGGUCGCGGGUUCCAAUCCCAGCCGCGGUCA